UUCAGAGAAGAAGACUGCAACAAGUUGGAAAAGAGUUCUAGUGAUUCCAUAUCAAAACCAUGCUGAUUGUAUCCUGAUGAUAGAUCCUUGGAGCCAGAACAGAAGAAAGUGGAUCCAUUCUCCUGGCAAAAUGAUUUAGAAACACCUCUGUAGUUCCAGCAAUAAUCAUGCCUCCCCCACUGGCACCUACCACAGCUUUCAGUUGCUCAUCCUUCAACACAACUGUAGGCGUCAUGGAUGAAAGCGGCCGCUUUCCAGGGCUAAUAAAAUUGGCAGGUG
RNAcentral lists this unclassified non-coding RNA (279 nucleotides) under Hevea brasiliensis (rubber tree). Lineage: Eukaryota; Viridiplantae; Streptophyta; Magnoliopsida; Malpighiales; Euphorbiaceae. The record is from RNAcentral.